AGUGAACGCUGGCGGUAGGCCUAACACAUGCAAGUCGAACGGCAGCACAGGAGAGCUUGCUCUCUGGGUGGCGAGUGGCGGACGGGUGAGGAAUACAUCGGAAUCUACUCUGUCGUGGGGGAUAACGUAGGGAAACUUACGCUAAUACCGCAUACGACCUACGGGUGAAAGCAGGGGACCUUCGGGCCUUGCGCGAUUGAAUGAGCCGAUGUCGGAUUAGCUAGUUGGCGGGGUAAAGGCCCACCAAGGCGACGAUCCGUAGCUGGUCUGAGAGGAUGAUCAGCCACGCUGGAACUGAGACACGGUCCAGACUCCUACGGGAGGCAGCAGUGGGGAAUAUUGGACAAUGGGCGCAAGCCUGAUCCAGCCAUACCGCGUGGGUGAAGAAGGCCUUCGGGUUGUAAAGCCCUUUUGUUGGGAAAGAAAUCCAGCUGGCUAAUACCCGGUUGGGAUGACGGUACCCAAAGAAUAAGCACCGGCUGACUUCGUGCCAGCCGCCGCGGUAA
RNAcentral lists this ribosomal RNA (506 nucleotides) under uncultured bacterium. RNAcentral describes it as "partial 16S ribosomal RNA". It matches the Rfam family "Bacterial small subunit ribosomal RNA", at positions 29 to 523 of the family's 1533-position model. The record is from RNAcentral.